This 705-nucleotide ribosomal RNA is filed under the name uncultured Leuconostoc sp. Its description in RNAcentral is "bacterial SSU rRNA". It matches the Rfam family "Bacterial small subunit ribosomal RNA", at positions 31 to 718 of the family's 1533-position model. The record is from RNAcentral. Lineage: Bacteria; Bacillati; Bacillota; Bacilli; Lactobacillales; Lactobacillaceae.
GAACGCUGGCCGCGUGCCUAAUACAUGCAAGUCGAACGCACAGCGAAAGGUGCUUGCACCUUUCAAGUGAGUGGCGAACGGGUGAGUAACACGUGGAUAACCUACCUCAAGGUUGGGGAUAACAUUUGGAAACAGAUGCUAAUACCGAAUAAAACUUAGUAUCGCAUGAUACCAGGUUAAAAGGCGCUACGGCGUCACCUAGAGAUGGAUCCGCGGUGCAUUAGUUAGUUGGUGGGGUAAAGGCUUACCAAGACAGUGAUGCAUAGCCGAGUUGAGAGACUGAUCGGCCACAUUGGGACUGAGACACGGCCCAAACUCCUACGGGAGGCUGCAGUAGGGAAUCUUCCACAAUGGGCGAAAGCCUGAUGGAGCAACGCCGCGUGUGUGAUGAAGGCUUUCGGGUCGUAAAGCACUGUUGUAUGGGAAGAACAGCUAGAGUAGGGAAUGACUUUAGUUUGACGGUACCAUACCAGAAAGGGACGGCUAAAUACGUGCCAGCAGCCGCGGUAAUACGUAUGUCCCGAGCGUUAUCCGGAUUUAUUGGGCGUAAAGCGAGCGCAGACGGUUAAUUAAGUCUGAUGUGAAAGCCCGGAGCUCAACUCCGGAAAGGCAUUGGAAACUGGUUAACUUGAGUGCAGUAGAGGUAAGUGGAACUCCAUGUGUAGCGGUGGAAUGCGUAGAUAUAUGGAAGAACACCAGCGGGAA